Molecule: ribosomal RNA, 434 nt
Filed under: uncultured bacterium
Lineage: Bacteria
Description: partial 16S ribosomal RNA
Rfam family: Bacterial small subunit ribosomal RNA
Source: RNAcentral
AGCGAACGCUGGCGGCAGGCCUAACACAUGCAAGUCGAACGAACCUUUCGGGGUUAGUGGCGGACGGGUGAGUAACACGUGGGAACGUGCCUUUAGGUUCGGAAUAACUCAGGGAAACUUGUGCUAAUACCGAAUGUGCCCUUCGGGGGAAAGAUUUAUCGCCUUUAGAGCGGCCCGCGUCUGAUUAGCUAGUUGGUUGAGGUAAUGGCUCACCAAGGCUACGAUCAGUAGCUGGUCUGAGAGGAUGAUCAGCCACAUUGGGACUGGGACACGGCCCAAACUCCUACGGGAGGCAGCAGUGGGGAAUCUUGCGAAAUGGGCGAAAGCCUGACGCAGCCAUGCCGCGUGAAUGAUGAAGGUCUUAGGAUUGUAAAAUUCUUUCACCGGGGACGAUAAUGACGGUACCCGGAGAAGAAGCCCCGGCUAACUUCGUG